AAUGAAUUGGUUGCUUCCGAUUAACUGAACACAUAUCUGGAUUAUCACAAUUAUCUAAUUUAACUAGAGUUGGACUUGGUAAAUCUUUACCUUAAUCCGAUAAUCACAAUCAAUGGAUAACAAGACAACAAAGGUUUUGUUUGGUUUGGUGACAAUCAAAUUAAAUUUGAUUAUCUAGUUACCUUGAAAACGUUAAUUUCUCAAUUUAUGGUUACCUGUUGAUUGUAAUCAUAUUUGAUUAACCUUUAAUUGUAAACUCGUUAUCUUUAUGUGCUAUCAGAAUUGUAACAAUUAACAAUUGUUACAAUCAAAAUGGUGAAUGAAACGAGAACUCAAUUGAGAAAAGUUGUUUAUUUUUCAAUUAUUAUGUGAACAAAUAGUUAAAUUUAAUCAUCAUCAUAAAUGGAAUCACAAUUAGUAGGUGAAUUAAGGAAAACGGGAUUAAAGAGUAGACUGAUUGUUAAACAUAUUGAUACAAUUAAGGAUUAAAUCAAUUGAUUAAUUUUCACAAUCGAUGAUUACAAUUUGUAUUCAUUUUUUUAAAAGAUUUUAACAAGGGGUCAAGAUCGGCGACAGUUUUUGACCGUUCAGAGAGACAUUUCUUGGAAACUGGACAUCGUCCGACAUUAUUAGUACCAGUAACUACGGUACUUCGUCCUCCCCCGAUGAUACCAACUCCGAUA
Panonychus citri (citrus red mite) is the source of this 683-nucleotide long non-coding RNA. RefSeq lists it as uncharacterized. The record is from RefSeq and is a predicted model, not a curated record. NCBI's taxonomy places the organism in Eukaryota, Metazoa, Arthropoda, Arachnida, Trombidiformes, Tetranychidae. The transcript has 3 exons.